UCCUGUGUUUUUAUUUCAUGUUUUCCACAGGGUCCAUGAAUGCAAAAUGAAGCUAUUCCUCCUAAUCUGCUUGCUGGUUUCUUGCUGUUGCCAUGUUGGGGCAGUGAACCGGGAGUACUUUAUUGGCAUUACAGAGACUGUCUGGAACUAUGCACCGGGCAAUGCCAGUGCCAUCUCUGGGCAGCUUUUUGCAGAAGAAGAGCAGGCUGAAGUCUUUCUCAAAAGAGGACCACACAGGAUAGGAAACACUUACAAGAAGGCUAUCUACGUUCAGUAUACUAAUCACUUAUAUGAUGUGAUAGUCGACAAACCUUCCUGGCUGGGUUUUUUAGGUCCUAUAAUUAAGGGAGAAGUUGGAGAUUCCAUUACUAUUCACUUGAAAAACUUUGCUUCCAGAAACUACACGCUGCAUCCGCAUGGUGUAAGAUACACAAAAGAAAAUGAAGGUGCUUUUUAUCCUGACACCACCAAAGAUUUGCAAAAGCGAGAUGAUGCUGUGGAGCCUGGAGGCCAGUACACUUACACGUGGGAUGUGACAGAAGAUCAAGGUCCAGCUGAAGCAGAUGCAGACUGCAUAACCAGGGCUUACCACUCCCACAUAGAUGCUCCAAGAGAUGUUGCCUCAGGGCUUGUUGGGCCUUUAAUAAUUUGCAGGAAAGAUACAAUGAAUAGGGACACUGAUCAACACUUUGAUGCUGAAUUUAUCCUUAUGUUUUCUGUGGUGGAUGAAAAUCUCAGUUGGUACUUAGAGGACAAUAUCAGAACAUACUGUUUUGAGCCUUCCAAAGUGAACAAAGAUGAUGAGGACUUCCAGGAAAGCAAUAAAAUGCACUCAAUCAAUGGAUACAUGUAUGGAUACCUCCCAAACCUCACAAUGUGUGUGGAAGAUAAGAUAAAAUGGCAUCUUUUUGGCAUGGGUAAUGAAGCUGAUAUCCAUUCAGCCUACUUUCAUGGACAGACUUUAAUAGAAAGGCAUCAUCGAGUUGACACCAUCAGCCUCUUCCCAGCCACAUUCAUUGAUGCUGUCAUGGUACCAAGGAGCCCUGGGGAAUGGCUGCUCAGCUGCCAAGUGAAUGACCACAUUGAAGGUGGUAUGCAGGCCCUUUUUAAAGUAGAAGAUUGCAAGAAAUCCACACCCAGUCACAGUGAGAGUACAAAGAUAAGACAGUACUUCCUUGCGGCUGAAGAGAUCAUCUGGAAUUAUGGCCCAUCUGCAGUGAACCAUUUUACAGGACAAGAAUUAAUUGUCGACAGUGAAUCUCACAUCUUUUUUGAACAAAGUGAGACAAGAAUUGGUGGCUCCUACAAAAAAGCAAUUUACAAAGAAUACACAGAUGAUUCUUUCACUGAACAUAAAAAAAGGCUUGCAGAGGAAGAACACCUUGGACUCCUAGGACCUGUGAUCAGGGCUGAAGUGGGUGAGCGCAUCAGGGUGACCUUCCGGAACAACGCCAGCCGCCCGUUCAGCAUCCAGCCCCACGGCGUGAGCUACCGCAGGAGCGGCGCCGGGGCGCGCUUCGGCACCGGUACCGAAUCUCCAGCCUCUCAUGUGAGUCCCGGCACCACAUUUACGUAUGAAUGGGAUGUGCCAGAAGAUGUGGGUCCCACAGAGCAAGACCCAGACUGUUUAACCUGGCUUUAUUACUCAGCUGUGGAUGCAGUCAGAGACACCAGUUCUGGCCUUGUGGGUCCUCUCCUAGUGUGCAGGAAAGGAGCUCUUCUUUCCUCUGGGAAACAGAAAAAUGUGAACGUGGAGUUCUUUCUACUUGCCACAGUAUUUGAUGAGAAUCUGAGCUGGUAUUUGGAUGAUAAUAUUUUGAUGUUUACACUAAGUCCUGAUAAAAUUGACAAAGAUGACGACGAUUUCCAAGAGUCUAACAAAAUGCACUCCAUUAAUGGUUAUAUGUAUGGAAAUCAGCCUGGUCUUGAGAUGUGUAAAGGAAGUGUGGUCUCCUGGCAUUUGAUGGGCUUGGGUUCAGAAGUUGAUGUCCAUGGGAUAUACUUCUCAGAAAACACAUUUGUAACUAAAGGAACAAGAAGGGAUACAGCAAAUCUGUUUCCACAUACAGUUCUUACAGCUAUUAUGAAGCCUGAUUCUGAAGGAGUUUUUGAAGUGUCCUGCCUGACAGCGGACCACUACACUGGGGGCAUGAAACAGAACUACAAAGUGAAAAAAUGCCACUGGUGGAAUGUAGAUUUAUCUAUGUAUUUGCAUGAAAAGAUUUACUACAUUGCUGCAGUGGAAGUUGAAUGGGACUAUUCUCCAAACAGGACAUGGGAAUUCGAGCGGCACCAAUACCAUGAGGAAAGCCCUGGCAAUCCGUUUUUAAAUAAAGAUGACAAAUUCAUUGGCUCAAAGUACAAAAAGGUGGUAUAUCGCGAGUACACCGAUCUGACAUUCAGUACUCCCAAAAACAGAGCAAAGGAGCAGCAGCACCUGGAAAUUCAAGGGCCGCUGCUUGUGUCAAAUACUGGAGAUAAAAUUAUAAUAGUUUUUAAAAACUUAGCAACAAGACCUUAUUCUAUCCAUGCCCAUGGAGUGAAAACAGACAGUUCUGUUGUUGCUGUAACUAACCCAGGUGAUACAAAAAUGUAUGUCUGGAAAAUCCCAGAGAGAUCUAGUCCUGGGAGAGGAGAUUCACAUUGUAUUGCAUGGGCAUACCAUUCAACAGUGGACAUUGUUAAGGACACUUACAGUGGAUUAAUAGGCACACUCGUUGUGUGUCACAGACAUUACCUGCCAUCAUUUCAUACUAAAAAGAAAGUUCAGUUUGCUCUUCUCUUUAUGGUUUUUGAUGAAAAUGAGUCAUGGUACUUGGAUGAAAACAUUAAAACGUAUUCUACCAACCCACACCGCGUUGACAAAGAGGAUGAGGGAUUCCUUGAAAGUAAUAAAAUGCAUGCCAUUAAUGGAAAGGUGUUUGGAAAUUUGCAUGGCCUGACUAUGCAAGUUGGAGACAAUGUCAGCUGGUAUCUGAUGGGAAUGGGCAAUGAGAUAGACAUUCACACAGUACACUUCCAUGGCCACAGCUUUGACUACAAGCAAACAGGGGUUUACCGGGCAGAUGUCUUUGAUCUGUUCCCUGGGACCUUUCAAACUGUGGAAAUGACCCCACAGAACCCUGGAACCUGGCUGUUACACUGUCAUGUUACUGACCACAUCCACGCAGGCAUGGAAACGACCUACACUGUACUCCCAAAGGAAGGUUACACCACUGGAAACACAUGCCUAUGCCACUUUGACACAUAAAACAUACUUGCUGUAGCAGUCUCCUAAGAAGGCACAACUUUCUCUGAAUGCUCUUAGAAGAUCUUCCUUCUCAUCUGAUUCAAGGAAAUGAGGGUCCAUUAUAGCUGCUCUGACCAGUAAGUGAGCCUCACUUAGAAGAUGGAUGCAGCUCUCGGUUUUAACAUUUUCGUAAGUUCUACUAUAUUCUACCUAGAACAGACACAGCAUAUACUUAGGCUGCUGACAAAAAUUAAGAAUAUACAGGAACAAUUUUAAUGAGGACAGCAUCUGCUUGAAAUAGGAUUAUGGGCUAUUCACAAGAAAUAUAUUACACCAUAUUCAGCCAUGACAUGCAUCAGAGAUUAACUAGCAGUAUUUAUUUUUAGUUAGCAAAUAACAAAAGCAGGAGUUGGGCAAUACCAUUUCUCUGUAAAGCUGAAUUGUUGAAACAGUGUUGAUAAUAUAUAAAUUCCAACCAGGCUCUGACUCAGAAUUUGUUCUGGAUUUGAUGCUGUCAGCCUUUCUGGAACUAGAGAAAAGAGUUGAGUUGUCAGUGUUGAAAUAAACACUAUGCAACCAAAAAAAACCCACUCAUUUUGUAAUUCAAAUGCAUAAAUAGGUAUAUCUGCAGACCAGUAAGUGCUGGAGAAUUAAGCUGUGAAUCCUAGUCAUACUGGCUAAUAACAAAACAGGGAUAGGCAUGUUCACACAUAAGAGUCAUCAUCAGAACUGUCUACUACAUCUUCUCCUGUGCAUAACACUAGGGAGUAUCAGGAAUCAUAGAAUCAUCAAAAGGUUUGGCUUGGACCUUAAAGAUCAUGUAGUUCUAACCCCCCAUCAUAGGCAUGGGAUGCCACCCACUAAACAGGUCAGACUGCCCACGGCCUUAUCCAACCACACCUUGAACAGUUAAGUAAUUUAAAUUAGCUGUUUAAUCUCCUGUAAGGAUUUUGUGCAUGGUUGCCCUGCAGCCCUAUCAAAGUGCUUGCCAACACAUGGCAUAAAGAGGUAUCAGAAUACUUUUAUUCUAAAACUUUGGCUUGGUCUAUAAAGCCCUAAGGUUAAACACACUGUAAGAAAACAGACUCUUUUUGUUCUGUUUUUAAAUUUUAUUUUAACUGUACGGAUGUAAAGAUGUGUACAUCUUUAUUUUCAAAUGAUCGUGCUACGUAACUUAGCAUUUGUCCACUACAUUUUUAACAGGAGGCAAAAAGUGUAUCUUCUUCAAAUGCCAAUUUGAUAGACUAUUUGAAUAUUUUAAACAAUGCAGCUGGCAGAAAAUGUGCUUUAUACAAGAAAACUACAGUAUUUGGAAUAGUCAUUUUUCCUGACAGGCUUCUCCUUAUAUUCUUCUGAAUAAUGUCUGCUCUAGACUUUAUGAAAUACUGGGUCAACUAACUCCUCAAUCAACUAAAGCUGUCUCACUCUUGCUAAUUAGCUUAAAUUUACUUUAAUAAAUGUGGUUUCUGAAUAACUGCUUAGAAUAGCUCCUUAGCUGUUUUAUGAAAAGCCUUCAAAAAUGGAAAGGGAAUAGCAAUUUCCCUGUAAACCUGUAAAAAGUCCCAUAUACCUCUGGCUACACACGUGCUACAACUGUAACUUUGGGCAAAGUCUGACUUGGCAAGAACCCUUAGGCAAAGAUAAGACAUUUAAUUUUGUGCUGCAACUUAUUUUGUAACCUGUAGCUUUGGCACUACAUAUUUUUGGUACUCUACAUUUUUUCUCAAGAUAUAUACUUUUUAAAAUCUCAGGAUAAAUUCUUAGUAAUGCUAUUUUUACAUUUUGUUGAUUUCAGGCAUUUGUGACUUUAUGCUCAUUUCUUCUAUGUCAGUAAAUACAACAGAAUUGAAAAAAAUAAAAGCUUGAUUGCUCUUCUCAGUCACUUAGAAGAAAAUUACUUCUCCAGAGUUUUUCAACUAAGAACCACUCUUAAAUUGCAAUAUCCACAAGUUCAACACUGUACACAGAGCUUCCACUGAGCUAUAUGGAACACCAUGCCAUAUCCAACACUAUUUUUUUCCUACCAUGUGUCAUCCUUUACCCUGCUUUGCUUUGGAAUUCACCAUUGGACCCUGGCAUCAAUUCUUCUUUAGCUUUUGAUAGAAAUUUUGGUGAAAAAAGAAGACUAAAUCGGCUUCCUGAGGAGGGGACCUGGAAACACAGGUGCUGAACUCUUCUCCAUGGGAUCCUGGGAAAGGCUCAAAGCUGUGCCAGGGGUGAGUUACACUUGAUGUGAGGAACCAGUUUCUUACCAAGAAUGGUGAAACACUGAACAGGCUUCCUAGAGAGAUGGUUGACGCCCUAGACCUGUCACUGUUUAAGAGGCAUUUGGACUGUGCCCUUAACAAUGGCACAUCCCUGAAGUGGUCAGGCAACUGCAGUAGAUGAUUGCUGCAGAUCUCUUCCAAGUGAAAUAUUCUAAAAUACUGAAAAAUGGACUUUCCUCGUAUCCCAUGAUUUCCUCAGUUCAAAAGAAACACCAAACCUUAUAAAAACCCCAGAAGUCAAAACAUCAGGAGUUUCCUUUCAAAAAGACAAAACACACAACGCAGUUUGGUUUUUUGUAGUAAAUUAACCCAUAAAAGGGAAAAUACAUCUGUAAUACCUGAAAAGCAGAUACUGCACUUGGAAGUGCUUUGUGUCUUCCGUAGGUAACUCUGUAGAUUCCAGUGUCACAGGUAUCUCACAUAGCUUACUUUCUUCCCCAAGCAGUUCCACUGGCUUCUGACAUAUGAUGAACUCAUCUAAUUCAAGCUGUAAAGGAUGUGUUGAAGGAUUUUCAUCUUUCACACCUGAGCAAUGAAAAUGCUAUCUUAAUUGUUCAAACCAUUCCAUGCAGCAGUAAGAAAAUAGUAUGACAAUAUUGAUUAAAUACUCCAAUUACA
Molecule: RNA transcript, 6114 nt
Organism: Haemorhous mexicanus (house finch)
Lineage: Eukaryota; Metazoa; Chordata; Aves; Passeriformes; Fringillidae
Gene: CP
Gene name: ceruloplasmin
Exons: 20
Source: RefSeq, a predicted model, not a curated record